Molecule: ribosomal RNA, 429 nt
Filed under: Pseudomonadota bacterium
Lineage: Bacteria; Pseudomonadati; Pseudomonadota
Description: Proteobacteria bacterium partial 16S ribosomal RNA
Rfam family: Bacterial small subunit ribosomal RNA
Source: RNAcentral
UGGGGAAUAUUGGACAAUGGGCGAAAGUCUGAUCCAGCCAUGCCGCGUGUGUGAAGAAGGUCUUCGGAUUGUAAAGCACUUUAAGUUGGGAGGAAGGGCAGUAAGCGAAUACCUUGCUGUUUUGACGUUACCGACAGAAUAAGCACCGGCUAACUCUGUGCCAGCAGCCGCGGUAAUACAGAGGGUGCAAGCGUUAAUCGGAAUUACUGGGCGUAAAGCGUGCGUAGGCGGCUAAUUGAGUCGGAUGUGAAAUCCCCGAGCUUAACUUGGGAAUUGCAUUCGAUACUGGUUAGCUAGAGUGUGGGAGAGGAUGGUAGAAUUCCAGGUGUAGCGGUGAAAUGCGUAGAGAUCUGGAGGAAUACCGAUGGCGAAGGCAGCCAUCUGGCCUAACACUGACGCUGGGGUACGAAAGCGUGGGGAGCAAACAGG